RNAcentral lists this ribosomal RNA (460 nucleotides) under uncultured bacterium. RNAcentral's name for it is "partial 16S ribosomal RNA". It matches the Rfam family "Bacterial small subunit ribosomal RNA", at positions 338 to 795 of the family's 1533-position model. The record is from RNAcentral.
CCUACGGGUGGCAGCAGUGAGGAAUAUUGGUCAAUGGGCGUAAGCCUGAACCAGCCAAGUCGCGUGAGGGAUGAAGGUUCUAUGGAUCGUAAACCUCUUUUAUAAGGGAAUAAAGUGCGGGAUGUGUACCGUUUUGUAUGUACCUUAUGAAUAAGGAUCGGCUAACUCCGUGCCAGCAGCCGCGGUAAUACGGAGGAUCCGAGCGUUAUCCGGAUUGAUUGGGUUUAAAGGGUGCGUAGGCGGCCUUUUAAGUCAGUGGGGAAAGUUUGUGGCUCAACCAUAGAAUUGCCGUUGAUACUGGGAGGCUUGAGUAUGUUAGAGGCAGGCGGAAUGCGUGGUGUAGCGGUGAAAUGCUUAGAUAUCACGCAGAACCCCGAUUGCGAAGGCAGCCUGCCAAGCCAUGACUGGCGCUGAUGCACGAAAGCGUGGGGAUCAAACAGGAUUAGAUACCCGGGUAGUC